Molecule: long non-coding RNA, 1205 nt
Filed under: Cucumis sativus (cucumber)
Lineage: Eukaryota; Viridiplantae; Streptophyta; Magnoliopsida; Cucurbitales; Cucurbitaceae
Description: long non-coding RNA (CSAT_LNC000023)
Source: RNAcentral
CCUCGAGAACGGCCACUGUCUCGGUCAUAAAGAACCCGAGCGUCUACUACUUUACCAUGUUCACUAAAGAGUUGCUCCAAGCGUCCAUUGUCUACAUCCCAUGGAAGAUUGCCUACAUAGAUUCUGAAAGUGGGUUGGAAUGGUCGAGGUUCGCGUUCUUGCCUUGAACCUCUUGGAGCAGCCUUAUUAACAGUCAAUAGCCUCCCGGAUAAAUCCUAUAAACCCAGAAAAGCACAUUUUAUUCCCAUAAAUUUUUCGGUAGAACUGAGAAUGGAAAAGUUUAAACAAAGUACCAAGUAAAAGUGAAGGGAUAUCUCAAACAAAGAAAACAAACAAUUACAUAUGUUAGAAAUACUCUAUUCUACACAAGGACAUGGCCUCUAGAGCUUAUCCAGAUAGAAAAAUCAAUCUCAUCAUCAAACAUUCAAACAAACAAAUCAUUACAGCUAUGGAUAUGUAAGGAUUGACUAGAGAAAAUAAGCUUUAAAAGCUGGUAGCCACACACUAAAAAAUAACUUAUUUCAAAAGUACACACGGAAAGAAAAUUGAACAAAUUCACCUUUCGUCCUAAUGGCUAAGUCCUACACUAACAAGUCCUCAGAUUCAUGAAAACCAGACCAUUUAAACUCUUCAGAAUAAAAUGAAAUGGUUAAAUGCAAAGAUAUACUGGCAGUAAAUGCUUCCAUUGUGAAGCAAGAAUGAAGAUAAGGUUUCAUUCAUGAUACUCAAAUAUGGCUGAAUCUUGUCUACAGAAGCUUACAUAACGGUUGAAGGUAUCCACAGCUUUCUCGGCUUCUUCAACAGUACUCAUUGUCACAAACCCAAAACCACGACUCCGAUCUGUUUCUCUGUUGUAAAUAACCUACAAAUAACAAGCAGAUUAAAAGCUUAAACCAAAUCCAUAAACAGAACAGACAGCAAUAGUGUAACUAAAGCUCACCUCAGCAAUCUCCACGGUUCCAGCCUUCUCAAAGAGCAUUGCUAACUUUUCACUGUCAAUAUCAUAAGGCAAAUUCCCAACAAACAAUUUAGCAUCUUCGUUUGGCUCUUCAUAAGGUCCUUGUUCCCCUUCUUCGUCUUCUUCUUCAUCUCCUCCUACUUCAGCCUCACUUCCUCCAUCUUCACCUUCACCUUCCCAAUCAGAAAUACGAGACUCAGUUUCACUGAGCUCUUCAUUUUCCCAAUGGGGGCCGCCUUCUUCUCCC